RNAcentral lists this ribosomal RNA (431 nucleotides) under Arthrobacter sp. RNAcentral describes it as "bacterial SSU rRNA". It matches the Rfam family "Bacterial small subunit ribosomal RNA", at positions 148 to 593 of the family's 1533-position model. The record is from RNAcentral. Lineage: Bacteria; Bacillati; Actinomycetota; Actinomycetes; Micrococcales; Micrococcaceae.
CCUGGGAAACCGGGUCUAAUACCGGAUACGACCUUUCACCGCAUGGUGGUUGGUGGAAAGAUUUUUUGGUUUUGGAUGGACUCGCGGCCUAUCAGCUUGUUGGUGAGGUAAUGGCUCACCAAGGCGACGACGGGUAGCCGGCCUGAGAGGGUGACCGGCCACACUGGGACUGAGACACGGCCCAGACUCCUACGGGAGGCAGCAGUGGGGAAUAUUGCACAAUGGGCGCAAGCCUGAUGCAGCGACGCCGCGUGAGGGAUGACGGCCUUCGGGUUGUAAACCUCUUUCAGCAGGGAAGAAGCGAAAGUGACGGUACCUGCAGAAGAAGCGCCGGCUAACUACGUGCCAGCAGCCGCGGUAAUACGUAGGGCGCAAGCGUUGUCCGGAAUUAUUGGGCGUAAAGAGCUCGUAGGCGGUUUGUCGCGUCUGCU